GCGCACCUCGACUGCGACCCCAGGUCAGGCGGGAUCACCCGCUGAGUUUAAGCAUAUCAAUAAGCGGAGGAAAAGAA
This 77-nucleotide ribosomal RNA is filed under the name Olea europaea subsp. europaea. RNAcentral's name for it is "partial 26S ribosomal RNA". The stretch from base 15 to 77 matches the Rfam family "Eukaryotic large subunit ribosomal RNA", at positions 1 to 63 of the family's 3401-position model. Lineage: Eukaryota; Viridiplantae; Streptophyta; Magnoliopsida; Lamiales; Oleaceae. The record is from RNAcentral.